This 196-nucleotide unclassified non-coding RNA is filed under the name Basidiomycota sp. RNAcentral's name for it is "partial contains small subunit ribosomal RNA, internal transcribed spacer 1, and 5.8S ribosomal RNA". The stretch from base 1 to 47 matches the Rfam family "Eukaryotic small subunit ribosomal RNA", at positions 1785 to 1831 of the family's 1831-position model. The record is from RNAcentral. Lineage: Eukaryota; Fungi; Basidiomycota.
AAAGUCGUAACAAGGUUUCCGUAGGUGAACCUGCGGAAGGAUCAUUAACAAGUCCACAUAUAUGCAUGUCUCUCUUUUCGGGGAGCGUGCAUAUAUAAGCCCCGUGCAGCAAUGCACGUGUGACACAUUUUAUCGUUUGACUGAUAAUUAUACAAAGAACAAAGAGAAACUUUUAACAACGGAUCUCUAGGCUCUU